UAAAACUUGGAACAUAUUGAAAUAUAAUCUUCUCUACCAAGGGUUUUCUUUGGCAAAGCACUAGUUUCUUCCCAGUCGAAGCUUCUCUGGUGAAGAUUCUUCUCCGGCGAAGGCGACUCCUCCAGCAAAGGCUUCUCAUCUGGCAAUAUCUUCUGCUCCGGCGAAAUCGAUCUUUUUCUCCAGCAAAUUAGUCUUCUUGCUCUUUGCAUCUACAGGAAAAAAACCAAGGGAAAUGUAUCACUUAAGGAGCUCUUUGUGGAAACAAGAGCAAGGAAACCCGGCCGCUCAUACAAGGAGUCAAAUGAAAACACAACUAGUAAAAUUGUUGAAAUGGAGGAAAUUGAAACACAAAUCCGCGCGGAUGAUAGUCAGCCCGUUGAUGUAUAUUCAGCCGUUAUGGAUCCAGAACAUCCGAGACGUCUAAGACUAUAUGGACGGGGGGUUACAAAGACUUCUUUGAAAGGAAAAGAUGAAAAUUUUGAACCAACUUCAAAUGCCACGAAUGAUGUAGUGCAACAAAUGCAAGAAAAGAUCCAAAAAUGGAGAAACAAAAGAGAACUAUGCGAGCAGAAGUUACUGCCGAAGUUACUGCAGAAGUUACUGCACACGUAAUUGCACAACUCUAACAUGCAAGAUUAAUUAGUCCAGAAAUGCUAGCAGCAUUGUGUGUUCCUUCACCGGGAGAAGUUACGUCUGCACCACAAGCAACUUAUCAGAUUACCCGUCGGCUAUCUACAGAUAACAACAAUUAGUGUCACUUCUUCUCUGUUGCGACCCUUUUUUCUUUCUCUUCUUAGUUCCUCUGUUGCCUCUUUUCUGUUGCUCUUUUUUUCUGAUUCUUUUUCUACUUUGGACCAUGGUUUUAGAUAGUGCACUGUUAAUACCCGAGUUUGCUCUUCAGUUAUGACCAACUUACUAGCUUUUGUA
Molecule: long non-coding RNA, 927 nt
Organism: Lycium ferocissimum
Lineage: Eukaryota; Viridiplantae; Streptophyta; Magnoliopsida; Solanales; Solanaceae
Exons: 3
Source: RefSeq, a predicted model, not a curated record